RNAcentral lists this ribosomal RNA (454 nucleotides) under Nocardioides sp. iMCIII13. RNAcentral describes it as "bacterial SSU rRNA". It matches the Rfam family "Bacterial small subunit ribosomal RNA", at positions 8 to 478 of the family's 1533-position model. Lineage: Bacteria; Bacillati; Actinomycetota; Actinomycetes; Propionibacteriales; Nocardioidaceae. The record is from RNAcentral.
AGAGUUUGAUCCUGGCUCAGGACGAACGCUGGCGGCGUGCUUAACACAUGCAAGUCGAGCGGAAAGGCCACUUCGGUGGUACUCGAGCGGCGAACGGGUGAGUAACACGUGAGUAAUCUGCCCCCCACUUUGGGAUAGCCACCGGAAACGGUGAUUAAUACCGGAUAUGACCCUUGACCGCAUGGUUGUGGGUGGAAAGUUUUUCGGUGGGGGAUGUGCUCGCGGCCUAUCAGCUUGAUGGUGGGGUAAUGGCCUACCAUGGCUUCGACGGGUAGCCGGCCUGAGAGGGUGACCGGCCACACUGGGACUGAGACACGGCCCAGACUCCUACGGGAGGCAGCAGUGGGGAAUAUUGGACAAUGGGCGGAAGCCUGAUCCAGCAACGCCGCGUGAGGGAUGACGGCCUUCGGGUUGUAAACCUCUUUCAGUACCGACGAAGCGAAAGUGACGGAGG